This 233-nucleotide unclassified non-coding RNA is filed under the name Hevea brasiliensis (rubber tree). Lineage: Eukaryota; Viridiplantae; Streptophyta; Magnoliopsida; Malpighiales; Euphorbiaceae. The record is from RNAcentral.
AUUUUCGUACAUAAAUCAUGCAUUAUCCAUUCUACAAUUUCAGAUAGGAUUUAAAUUCUUUUCUUGAUGCAUUGUUAUAUUUUAACUUUAGGCGAGGAUCUAGCUCCUAUAGUAGAUACUAGGGGUACUUAAGUGGUCUAGGCCUCGGUCUGUCUUCAGUAAUAGUGAGUGGAUAAAUAUAUAACUCUGGUAUUUUAUUAACUGUAAAUUAUUUAUAUUAUUCUUAAUUUCAA